GAAGCUAUAGCUCAGUGAUAUAGCAAAUUUUUCCCAUGCAGAAGAUCUCAGGUUCAAUCCCUGGUAGCUUCU
Podarcis lilfordi (Lilford's wall lizard) is the source of this 72-nucleotide non-coding RNA. The record is from the annotation of a GenBank genome assembly. NCBI's taxonomy places the organism in Eukaryota, Metazoa, Chordata, Lepidosauria, Squamata, Lacertidae.